UAAAAAAGGAAAAAGAAGGGAGUUUCAUCUUCUCCUUCGUGAAGCACCAGCACCUCAGCCCUCACGCCGGUGUUUUGCUCAGAUCGUUGUCUGUCGCUCAACCUAGCCGACGCGUUGCCAUGGUCUUCGCCAGCGAUCACUGUCGUCGAGUCGUGCGUCAUUCGCCUACACUAGUCACAGACGUCAGCAGACACGCACUCGUGUCCAGUCACCGUUUGGGCUCGUGUUGUUCGUGUUGCCAGUCUGUCGCACACUGCCAGUCAGCCGGGCCUCCCUGCCCAAUCCACUGUGUCACCGUCGCUCGUUGGAAUCUUGAAGUUUAGGGUGAUUUGGAGUUUUUUGUGGCAAAAGUGCUGUCCAGCAGAAUUACGUUUUGUUUGGCAAAGGAUUGAUUCAAGCUUUGAAGAAAUUUUAAGGUCGAAAACAUGUUGUCCGGAGUUUUGAGAUCGAUUUUAGGCGGGUUCAACAAAGACUAUUUGUUCCAAUUCAAGAAUUUGUUAAGAGGUAAGAGCAAGGAUACACGAGCGACUGACAAGAGGAAUUCGUGAUAGUGCCCAUGGGACCAGACAAAUGCUUCCGCAUACGAGUUCUUGAGUCGUUUUCAUGUUUUCUGUACGUACUUUAGUUUUUUACAGAACUAGGGUGUUUGGGAUUUUUUUCGGUUGGUUUCCCUUAUUUUAAAAUCUAUGUUUUAGGGGUAUCUUGAAUCAAAAUGUUAUAAAUUUUGA
Non-coding RNA from Benincasa hispida (wax gourd), 728 nucleotides. Lineage: Eukaryota; Viridiplantae; Streptophyta; Magnoliopsida; Cucurbitales; Cucurbitaceae. The record is from RefSeq and is a predicted model, not a curated record.